AGAGAAGCCAGGGAGGGGUUUUUGCUGAUAUUCUCUCCCUCUCUCUCUCUAAGGUUGAGCCGUACGUGGAGGAGCUUUCGGGUGGAGUUCGGAUCGUCGCCGACGACGCGACGGGGAGCCGUUCGAGCGCGUGGACGUCGUAGUUGUGUCGAUUGGAGGCCGUUCGAGCGUGUGGUUCCGCUCCUUUCGUUGGUUCACCGGGAUGUUUGUAUGUAUAGUGAACUUCUGUUUUAUAUAUCUCAUAUCUUUUAGCAGCUCUAUACUACUAGUUGUAGUAUUGUAUGUUUACAGGUACAGCUAUCGCUUCGUGUACAGAAAAUUUUUUUUUGUAUACGGCGGAUUUGUCGAUGUGCAUGAAAAAACGUGUAAUCCGAGGCGUGUCAGAUUAAGUUGGUAUCAGAGCUUAGUAUUAGGUCGUUGGGACCUAGAAAAUCUAAGUUUGGCAAAUCUUAGGAGGGCAAGACGCGAGGGGCAUGAUUUAUCGCGAAAGUCAAUGAUUGAAUAGUUAUAAUUCCUAGAGUGGAGUGAGUGAUUGAAGGAGUGUCUGUUUCGGU
RNAcentral lists this long non-coding RNA (554 nucleotides) under Ananas comosus (pineapple). RNAcentral's name for it is "long non-coding RNA (ACOM_LNC022098)". Lineage: Eukaryota; Viridiplantae; Streptophyta; Magnoliopsida; Poales; Bromeliaceae. The record is from RNAcentral.